UCUAAGUUUGAAGUCAAGUGGAGAAUAUUGGUCAAUGCACGAAAGUGUGAACCAGUAACUUAGAGUUAAAAGUCAUUUUCUGAUAUCAGAAGAUUUACUUUUGAAUAAGUAUAAUAAAUGAUGAUUAUUAUACCGAAUAGUCCAGUCUAAUCUCCGUGCCAGCAGUCGCGGUAAUACGGAAUCGGGCA
This 188-nucleotide non-coding RNA is filed under the name Cryptococcus deneoformans JEC21. Lineage: Eukaryota; Fungi; Basidiomycota; Tremellomycetes; Tremellales; Cryptococcaceae. The record is from Rfam by way of RNAcentral.